Pelobates cultripes (western spadefoot toad) is the source of this 222-nucleotide non-coding RNA. The record is from the annotation of a GenBank genome assembly. Lineage: Eukaryota; Metazoa; Chordata; Amphibia; Anura; Pelobatidae.
CUUGACAGGCAGAAUAGAAAGUAGUAAGAUACGCAGAGUGUAAAAUCAUUAACUCUGUUUGCCUAGAGUGACAGAAUUAUAGGGACUGGCCCAGUCUAUACUUUAAACAAUAUUCCAGGCAGUCAAUUUUAAUGUGUUUACAUUAUUAGUGAGUUUCCAUUUUUUCCCCACUUUCACUAUAGCUGAAAACAUUUGGAUAUUUUUCCACUUAAUUAAAUUAAC